CCUACGGGAGACAGCAGUGAGGAAUAUUGGUCAAUGGACGAGAGUCUGAACCAGCCAAGUAGCGUGAAGGAUGACUGCCCUAUGGGUUGUAAACUUCUUUUAUAAAGGAAUAAAACGAGGCACGUGUGCCUUUUUGCAUGUACUUUAUGAAUAAGGAUCGGCUAACUCCGUGCCAGCAGCCGCGGUAAUACGUAGGGGGCGAGCGUUAUCCGGAUUCACUGGGUGUAAAGGGAGCGUAGACGGCCAAGCAAGCCAGGGGUGAAAGCCCGGGGCCCAACCCCGGGACUGCCCUUGGAACUGCAUGGCUGGAGUGUGAGAGGAUAGUGGAAUUCCAGGUGUAGGAGUGAAAUCCGUAGAUAUCUGGAGGAACAUCAGUGGCGAAGGCGACUAUCUGGCACAUAACUGACGCUGAGGAGCGAAAGCGUGGGUAGCAAACAGGAUUAGAUACCCUUGUAGUC
Molecule: ribosomal RNA, 458 nt
Filed under: uncultured bacterium
Lineage: Bacteria
Description: partial 16S ribosomal RNA
Rfam family: Bacterial small subunit ribosomal RNA
Source: RNAcentral